UCAACCGGACGGCAAGGCAGGGGUUGGCCGGGGAAGCACUGCGCCGCCCCUGCAUGCCCUGCAUCCUCGGGUCCUGGGAGGGCUGCUCAGUAACUGGAAGGAAAAUGAAACUGAAAAAGAGCAAGGGUCCCGUAGGAUUGAACACAGUUGGUGAAACUUGGGCCGUCUGCCUCAAGUCCCCGCUUGGCAAAACCACUCCCUCCUGGUGGACGCCCUCACCAUGAAGUGUCCCGCUGUCACCCAGGCUGGAGUACAGUGAGCUGUGAGGUGACCACGGCUCACAGCCUCAACCUUGGGCUCCAGCAGUCCUCCUGCCUUGGCUGGAUUCAGUGCUGGGGUUACAGGUGUGAGCCACUGCUCCCGGCCAAAGUCUCAUUUUUGAUGCCUCAGUUCCCACCCAAGACAUCACGUCUCAUACUCUGCUUCCUGUGUCUUGUGAACAGUGACAGUGCUGUAGGAAAGAGUAAGCUGGAAAAAGAGAAGGUUCAGAACGACAGUGCUGACGCAGACAUCACACAGCGG
RNAcentral lists this long non-coding RNA (522 nucleotides) under Homo sapiens (human). RNAcentral's name for it is "HSALNT0356082". Lineage: Eukaryota; Metazoa; Chordata; Mammalia; Primates; Hominidae. The record is from RNAcentral.